This is a long non-coding RNA of Juglans microcarpa x Juglans regia, 1647 nucleotides long. RefSeq lists it as uncharacterized. The transcript is spliced from 2 exons. The record is from RefSeq and is a predicted model, not a curated record. NCBI's taxonomy places the organism in Eukaryota, Viridiplantae, Streptophyta, Magnoliopsida, Fagales, Juglandaceae.
UUAUGACCAAAAGGUGCAAUGGAUUGUUUUGUGCUAUACUUUGUUGGUCCGGUUUGGUUGAAGGAGAUUCUAACUUCCUCUUUCUUACGAUCUUUGAUUAGGAGAAGCGAAAAUAUAAAGGAAAUAGCAAGCGAUAGAUGGUCCAAUACGCCAGCAAACAACCAUCAGUGGUUGUGUAGGCGCGUAAAGAGCACACGCCACUAUUGAAGAGAGGAGGAUGGUUGGAUAUGGAAGAUGCAAGGUCCCUGAUCUCAUUACUGCUGCUUGUGGCAACAGAAAACUCAUCCUGACGUGGCAGCGUGUGGAUCUUAUGCAUAGUUUGGGUCAUACAUGAGACAUACGCGCCACUCAUUUGGACUAUAUUCUUCCAAAAGCUGAACAAACGGCAGCUGAGGAGUCUUGUGGAGUGAUGCAUGAAGGUCGUAGGUGGCCAAAAAGCAGUAGAUCAGCCCAUCUCCAUACUAUAUAGUCGAAAAGCAUGAAAAGAAGUUGGAAAAAAUCCAUAGGACAGCUCAAGGAAGAACCAAAGAGUUGGAGGAAAGGUGGAGCCAAAGCUCCACCCCCUCUGGAUGGAGAUGGGAGGAUCUUUAAGAGAUGGGUGGAGGUUGGAAGAGAGCUUUCAGGACAAGAGAGAAUGAGGUUUCUUUUGUUUGUUUCUACCCUUCACAUCGGAAUGCCCAGUUAAAAGAAAAGGACGUUUGGAAUAGCACAUUAGCAACUUAAAAAUGAUAGGCCAACCAACACCAAGAUUUUUUAGGAGAGAGAAGGAAUUGCAGAAGCAAGGGUCCUCAGCUUUUACGAUAUGUACGUUUGUCCUUCCAGGUGUUCUUUCUGGACCCCAUUAUUGCAGGUUACGAAAAACAAUGCAUCAAAGAUACAGCUAAUUUCGUUUUGAAAAGGGGGUGCAAUGAAACUGAUCAUUUAUGAAGUACCACAUGCAAUGGUCCCACAGUAAAGCUCUCUGGUUAGAACUUUUUCUUAUCUGCUGUUGGGGUUUGGUACUGGAUGCAUUAUAUAUAGCCACUUUUGCUUGUGGUAGAACCAGGAAAACAUCUUCUUGUCUCGGAGUUCAAGUGAAACAUGGCUAAACCUGGAGAUUAUAGGGGAAAAAGGAAGGGAAGCAAUGGAAUUCUAGGCUCCAUUAUGGGAAAGCUGCACACUAGUAUUUCACUCUUAAAAGGAGUGAAACAAGGCUACUUUGUUGUAGUUGCGACUGAAGGCUGGAAACCAAAGAAGUUUGUCAUUGAACUGGGUUAUCUCAAUAAUCCCGAGUUUUUGAAGUUGUUAAAACAGGCCGAGGAAGAAUUUGGGUUUUCCCAGGAAGGAGCCCUUGCAAUUCCUUGUCGACCUGAUGACCUGCAGAGAAUCAUCGGAAUGAGGAAGCUAUGAAAGAGAGAAGUUGCUGGAAGGAUUACAUGAUCUUUCAUGUUAACUACGUUUACUUGUUCAUUUAUUUAAUAUAUUUUGUCUCCUUUGAGCUUUUGCUCUUGUACUUAAUUCUGUUACAACUGUAUUAAUUGAUUUCAGAUAAUUCAAGUUUAGAUAGGAAAAUUGUUGGUGGAGAAGAGAGAAUAAAACUCAGGAAUGGUAUCUAUUCAUGAAUUGAAGAACUGUGAGUACGGUUCUUGGUAAUAUAUAUGCAAUAAA